GGCUUAACACAUGCAAGUCGAGCGGAAACGAUGGGAGCUUGCUCCCAGGCGUCGAGCGGCGGACGGGUGAGUAAUACUUAGGAAUCUGCCCAGUAGUGGGGGAUAGCUCGGGGAAACUCGAAUUAAUACCGCAUACACCCUACGGGGAAAAGGGGGCGCUUGCGCUCUCGCUAUUGGAUGAGCCUAAGUCGGAUUAGCUAGUUGGUGGGGUAAAGGCCUACCAAGGCGACGAUCUGUAGCUGGUCUGAGAGGAUGAUCAGCCACACCGGGACUGAGACACGGCCCGGACUCCUACGGGAGGCAGCAGUGGGGAAUAUUGGACAAUGGGGGCAACCCUGAUCCAGCCAUGCCGCGUGUGUGAAGAAGGCCUUUUGGUUGUAAAGCACUUUAAGCAGUGAAGAAGACCUAACGGUUAAUACCCGUUAGCGAUGACAUUAGCUGCAGAAUAAGCACCGGCUAACUCUGUGCCAGCAGCCGCGGUAAUACAGAGGGUGCAAGCGUUAAUCGGAAUUACUGGGCGUAAAGCGAGCGUAGGUGGCUUGAUAAGUCAGAUGUGAAAUCCCCGGGCUUAACCUGGGAACUGCAUCUGAUACUGUCAGGCUAGAGUAGGUGAGAGGGAGGUAGAAUUUCAGGUGUAGCGGUGAAAUGCGUAGAGAUCUGAAGGAAUACCGAUGGCGAAGGCAGCCUCCUGGCAUCAUACUGACACUGAGGUUCGAAAGCGUGGGUAGCAAACAGGAUUAGAUACCCUGGUAGUCCACGCCGUAAACGAUGUCUACUAGUCGUUGGGGAACUUGAUUCCUUAGUGACGCAGCUAACGCAAUAAGUAGACCGCCUGGGGAGUACGGCCGCAAGGUUAAAACUCAAAUGAAUUGACGGGGGCCCGCACAAGCGGUGGAGCAUGUGGUUUAAUUCGAUGCAACGCGAAGAACCUUACCUGGUCUUGACAUAUCUAGAAUCCUGCAGAGAUGCGGGAGUGCCUUCGGGAAUUAGAAUACAGGUGCUGCAUGGCUGUCGUCAGCUCGUGUCGUGAGAUGUUGGGUUAAGUCCCGCAACGAGCGCAACCCUUUUCCUUAGUUACCAGCGGUUUGGCCGGGGACUCUAAGGAUACUGCCAGUGACAAACUGGAGGAAGGCGGGGACGACGUCAAGUCAUCAUGGCCCUUACGACCAGGGCUACACACGUGCUACAAUGGUAGGUACAGAGGGCAGCUACACAGCGAUGUGAUGCGAAUCUCAAAAAGCCUAUCGUAGUCCAGAUUGGAGUCUGCAACUCGACUCCAUGAAGUAGGAAUCGCUAGUAAUCGCGGAUCAGAAUGCCGCGGUGAAUACGUUCCCGGGCCUUGUACACACCGCCCGUCACACCAUGGGAGUUGAUUGCACCAGAAGUGGGUAGCCUAACUUUUAGAGGGCGCUCACCACGGUGUGGUUG
Molecule: ribosomal RNA, 1428 nt
Filed under: uncultured bacterium
Lineage: Bacteria
Description: bacterial SSU rRNA
Rfam family: Bacterial small subunit ribosomal RNA
Source: RNAcentral